Long non-coding RNA from Felis catus (domestic cat), 5740 nucleotides. RefSeq lists it as uncharacterized. The record is from RefSeq and is a predicted model, not a curated record. Lineage: Eukaryota; Metazoa; Chordata; Mammalia; Carnivora; Felidae. The transcript has 2 exons.
UCAGCACAGAGCCCGACCUGGGGCUCGAACUCACGGUCCAUGAUAUCAUGACCUGAGCCAAAGUCAGAUGCUUAACCGACCAAGCCACCCAGGCUCCCUCCACAAACUUCUUUUCACCUAAUCCUCCUAUUUCAGAUCCAUUUCACCCCCCGAGUUUCUCCAGAAGGGCUUCUCUGAUCAUUUCCACCACAGUCCGACUUUCACCUCUAAAUCUUUCUGAACCUGUCCUCCCCAAAGGCAUUAAGGACCUGUUGAUGAACCAUAUCCAGUAGCUCCCUUGCAGGAUGUCCCCCUCCCUUAGAUAUUAUAAACUAUUGUCUCCAUCCUGAAAGUCUGCCCUGCUUUUUCCCCGGGCCAGCGCUCCCUCUGGUUCUCACCCCGUCAGCACCCCUCCAUCCUUCCCUGUCUCUUCUGCUGGCAGCUCAUCCUCAUUUCCCAGGGGUGGAUGUUCCCCAGGGAUCUGUCACUGGGCUUCUCUCUUUAAUCUCUAUUUGCUCCCUGUGAAAUUUUAUUUUGUCAGUUCCUUCUCUCAUUUCUAGGUGGGUGAUUUCCAAAUUGACAUGGCAAGUUUGACCUCUCUACUGUGCCAUAAGAUAUUUCCCCAUAGUUACCAUGAGCUAUUUCCCUGUCUCGCCAGGUACCUCAAAUUCCAAAGUUUAUUCAGUGUCUCAAAUUAUCCGGCUUGUCCCGGGUAAUAUCCAUACACAGAUUAAUAAAGCACAGUUUGUGCAAACAAGAGGUUUAAUCCAAGCUGGAAAUGAUAGUCGUCUUCAAUAUAUUCUCCCCCUAACUUCCCGUCUCCAACCCACCUUUCAUAUCACUGUAAUACUUAGCUUUCUAAGGCACAAUUGCCUGGAAGCUUCCUUUGCCUUGCUAUCAUCCAAGGUAAAAAUUUGCAGCUCUUCCACUCCUUUCCCUUAUUCUUUCCAGCCAAAGAAGGUGUUUAUUUUAUGCCUCUGUGCCAUUGCUCAUGCUGUUCCCUUCUAGAAGAAUGUUCUUCCUCUUUUUCUCACCUAUUAAACUUUCACUGUCUUUUAAGGUUAAACUCAAAUGCCACCUCAUGUUGUCUCUCCUGCCUCUAACAGAAUGGCAUCUGGGAUUUCUUAGCUCUUUGAAUUUUGUCUAAAUUCUUGUUAUGGCAAAUAUCCUGAAUGACUGUGGUUGUAGGACCUAUAUCUCUCUGAGCAGUUACAAAGCAGGGACUGGGUUUUAUUUAAGUUAGUUCCCCUGUAGGACAGUCUUUCCCACACUUUGAGUUCACAAUGCCCUUGAUGUGUCAGCAAUUUUUCAGGAUGCCCAUAGGCCCAUAGAAAUACCUGAUAGUUUCGCUUAUUCAAUAGUUAGGUCCAAAAAACCAUAAAUAUUUAUGUCCUAACAACUCAGCAGCUUUUUGAGAACAAAUAAUACAUACACAUUGAAGGGAAAUCUUAAGAUUUUUAUUCCAUUUUAAAAUAAUGAUAAUUACUUGCCAACGAGAUAUGUAUCCUUAUUAGGUAUUGCACAGCUUCUUAAAUCUUAGACUCCAGUUGGAAGUCCCCACCGUCAUUUCCUACUCUGCCCUGAUUUUCAUGCAGUGCUUGCUUUUCACACAGCCGCUGCCCUACCCGGCUUCACAAGGAUAUGAUGUCACUGAAAAAGAUGUAGUCUGAUCUAACAGAAACUGUGAACUACCUCGGGCCAGUGGUUCUCAUGCUGUCUGACACAUGUCACUGUGUUUUUUUCAAAAAUAUUAGGUAUCCGGUGGUGUUCCUGAGACCUUGCUUCACCACCAACAGGCCACUGAGAACGGCUGGGGACUGUGGCUCCAGGGCUGAGCACCAGGCCCGCUCCACCAUGGGAUCCUGGCAGAUGGAAUUGGGUCCAGUUGUGUGUAUGGGUCAUUGGAUGUAGAUUUACCUCACAUCUCAGGCCCAAACAGCUUUUAUAAAGAAUGAAAGCUUCUCUAAAGAAUGUGUAGGAUUAGGAGAAUUAUUAUUAUCAUGAUUUCAAACAGAACCAAGGACCAAAUACCACUGGAGUGGUAAAUCCUUCAAAGCCAUAUUUCCAUUCAUCUAGCAAUUGCAAAUAGGAGCUUUGUUUGAGCUGCUAUUUUCAAGAAUGAAAUGGGUAGCAGAGGAUGUCAACUUGGAGUCUGUUUAUGCAACCAUUGUUUGUUUAUUUGAAGUUGUAGGUUCUCUGGAGGACAGUGUAUACAGUUUUUGUCAGCUCCCCAAAGUGAUUCGUGACCAAAACAGUAAAAUUUGAGUCGUAACAUUAAACAAAAUAUUUAAAAAUCAGGAAUGCCAUGUUACUACUAAUCUCAAAGAUGGUGUGUUGCCAAAAUUGAUCUUGUUGAUACAAAAUAAUUUUAAUUUUUUUCCCAGAAUUGACCCUUUGUCAGUUGAGAAUGAAACAUAGAGGAUUCACCACUUUUUUAUUUAAUUAUUCUUCCAUUUAUUUCCCUCACUUUAUAAAGAUGCCUCUCUCCUUUAGAAAUAAUUUAGAAUUUUGUGACUUACUUCCAAAAUGAACAAAAUGAUUUCUUGUCUUCUUUUGUUUUGUAGAUCUUAAUUUUCCUGACAAACAAAAAUUUCACUUGGAAAAUAACAUUUUCCAAAAUACAUAUCCUUAUGUAAUUUAUGAUCUCCUUAUGACAUUCUGGCUAAAUUGAUGGCAUUUAAUAUACUCUCUGGCUUGGAUGGAUCUUCCAAGAGAUUAAAAACCUUAAUAUGAAAAAACCAGCCAAAUGCUGAAUCUGUUACUACAUGAUCUCAUAGAUUAAAAACAAAAUGAAACAAACAAACAAACAAACAAACAAACAAAAUCCUUGUAAUUUAUUGGGUUAUUACAAAAUAUCCCAGUGGUUGGCAUUGUGUAGACCUAACAUCUAAAUAAUUGCUUCAAUAAACUCAAGAGGUCUCAGAUUAAAUAAUUGCUGUUAAUAACAGAUAUGUAAACAGAGCUUUGCCUGUUGUUCCUCACUGUUCUGAACAAUACUGUUCUUGUCUUUCUAUCCAGCUCAGCGUAUGCCCCAAAUCUUCACCAUCCCUGCUUCUCCAGCUAGGAGUGAAAUCUCGUUUCCCUAAAUUACUAUAAAGUUCUAAUCUUUAACAGACAACGUGAAGCAACUAUGUUCUUCUCAGCCUCAAAUUUAGAUUUAUUCUCCAUCCCUCAUCCCAGUGCUUCAUAUACACUCAGGAAGUGAAACCUAUAACCUGGUUUUGACCAGAAGCUUCUAGAGCAAAGAGUUGGUUUUGUUACAUAUUUGAAAAAUUACUUCUUUUCUUUAUCCUACUGUCCACUUUAGUUCAACCUCUUAUUUCUUAUUAUCUGUAUACAAUUGUUAGAGACCCUCCUCAACCAUGUUCCUACCUCUGUUUUCUUCCCACCCCAAUCUGCUUGACCCAACUUUCUGACUUAUUCUUAACACUGCAUAGCUCAAUUAGACUGUUCUGUUUUUAAACCCCAUUAUGGCUCCCAUCGCCUAGGAUAGGCCUUCACUGUAUGCCUCAGCUCAACUUUACAUCCUCACCCUCAACCAUUGCCCUAGAAUUCACUCCAAUUACAUUAUCUGGCACUGAACCUAUAUGGCUAAUUUUCAGCCUUGUGAUUUCUCCACUUGUACACUUUCAUAACACUGAAUUGUGAUCAUUUGCUAGUGAACAUUACAGUUCUUUAUAUAUUCAUCUUCCCUUUUUACUCCCUUGUAAGCUUUUUCCAUACAGUAAGAUUCGUUUAUUCAUACAUUCAUAGUGGAUUGUUUCCCUGCUGAUUGCCAAGCAUUUGGUAGGAACGGAUGUUCAAAGUUGAAAGAUGACUAAGCCCUGUAUGUACUUAGCGCACAGAAAGCAUUUGUUGAAUUAAGUUUUAAUGGUUUUCAAUCAGAUAAUAAUUAAAUUGAGUUGGAUCCUACUUUUGUAUUCCUUUAUAUAUAUUUUAACUGUGCCAGUCUUAUCUCUCCAAGAGGAGAGGGACCCUAUCUUAUUAAUCCUUUAUAUUCCCCAGAUGGUACUCUACAGAUAUACCUGCAAUGGAUUUUCAGUAAAUUCAUCUUGGUUGAAUGAUCAAACAUUUGAUUUUCUUCCAUACAUGUGAUGUCAUGUGACGUGGGCCCAUCACGUAUACAAAGCAAGACUGACUGACGUUGCAUGGAGUGCAAAACUUGAGUUGACUGUGCUUACUUACGCACGGGGAGCCUUUGCCAAUAUUUAAUUUUUACUUUUGCACGUGGAGUUUUCUGAAGCCAAAAUAGCAUUCAAAAUGAGUUAACCUAUCACUUGAUCUUUUGAGAAUCUCAAAUAUUGGUUUAGUUCUUGUUUUCUUAUCAAGACAUCCAAAUAUUGGGCAAAGACAGAUCUAAAUGUCAGAAAUCACUCCAAAACAUUUGUAUACAUUUUGAAUAAUUUUUAAUGUUAACUUAGCUUUUUUCAUAAGAUUUCUUUACAUCAUUGUACAUAGAGAUGAGUAGAUAUAAAGAUUUAAACAAGAUUAUCUAUUCAAUUCAACAACUCUUACUGAGUAGCCAGUAUAUAAAAAUGCAGGAUUCCAUAGGAGAAUACUGCCCUGGUAAAGGUCAGGUAUUAAGGCACCCAUCAGGUCUUUUGUUCUGCUGUGCUUUUGUGGGUGUGUUCAGGGAAAUGUGAACUUCAACUGCCUGAAAACCAAAAAAAAAAAAAAAAAGUGCAAAUCUGUGAUGACUAUAAUAACCAAGUCCAAGUGAAAUUCUGUCUAUAAAGCACAUAGUAGGUGUUCAAUAAACAUUAGUUAACUUUCCCCUAAUGGCUGGGAAUAGAAUUAAUCAACUAUUUACAGUAGAGUGGAGUGAAUAGGAAAUUCUUAUUAGAAACUUUCAUUUAACCAGAAGGACUCAAUUGUUAUUGUGCUUUAGUUGCAUUUAUCAGAUGACUGUUUAUUAUUUUCCUUCCCCUGCAUGAUAGAACUAUCGAAUAUCAAAGAAGAAAAAAGGAAAGUGAAACAAAGAAAGCCUUAAAAUAUAACAUGCUGAAAGUAUUGUGAAAUCGGUGAGGCACCUAAAGUGGGAGAGAUCAUGCUGGAAGAAAACACAAAACAUGUAUUACAAGUGACCUGCUUCGGAGGAUAACGAAAAGAAAUGAGAAUGUACCAAAUUUCUAGAAGAGAACAGGAUUGCACGGCACCCUACGGGAUGGCUUGCCCUCGGCCUGAGGUUCAUGGUAAUCUUCCAUUCUGUGCCUUUUCUGAGAGACUGGCUUACCAGAGCUGGAGUGUGAGCAGGGACUUAUAACGGCUGGAAGCUCGGCCUCCACAUCCAGCACCCAGGAGCUUCUCCACUCGGCCAGGAAAUUGCCCAGCUGGAUGGUGUCUUGGGAUUGCUCUCCUGGUCCUCAGAAAGGAAGGACAGCAACACCAGCAACAGCUGGCAUCUCUACCUGGUCAAAUAGCCAAGUGGUUAUGAAGGAGACCCUCAGUAACUAUCAGUGGUGGCGGUGGGAAUGGGGUGGGGGGAGGGGAUUCUGCUCAGUCAGCAGGGUGACCUCAAAAUUGUGGGAACACAUCAUACCAGACACACUCAAUUGCUAUUUGUGUUAAAAUUACACCAACACAACGGGUUGUUGUUAAAACUGUAGUUGCUGUAUGUUUAGAUUUAUUGAAGUAAUAAAGAAUUCGCUCUGCCGUCUUACGACAUUUUACUGGCAAAUUCUGCUCAAACUGGUUUGGAUCUGAUUGUAAUCAUUGUGUAGGCUGAAAACUGGCUGGAAUGUAUUAAAACAGAGCUUUCCGA